Molecule: long non-coding RNA, 652 nt
Organism: Suricata suricatta (meerkat)
Lineage: Eukaryota; Metazoa; Chordata; Mammalia; Carnivora; Herpestidae
Exons: 7
Source: RefSeq, a predicted model, not a curated record
GAACAUUUUCAAUCAGAAGGAAGGCAGAACAGCAUCUGUAUUAAGAGAGAACAGUGGAAGUAACCCAGAUUUGUAGAAUCCCCACUGGACUACAGAACACAGAUAAAGGGAAUUGACAGUAUGUGAAUGUCAUCUACAGAGUUCAUCACUGAAGGGAGAUAGCAUACCAAGAGAAAAAAGACAACAAAUCCAGGUGUUUUGAAUUGAAAAAAUGUACAAGAUGCCACAGUAGCUCUGGGGAUUUGCCUGCUUUCAAGGUCACCAGAAGAAAUUUGUUCUCUUUGGCUGCUUGGAAUCCAAUUGAUUUUCUGAUAGGAAGAAUACUCCAUGGUGAGAGGCAGGGCCAGUAAGCAGCACUCUCUCCCCACACCUUAGAAGACAUAGCCAUCAUCUUUUCAUCUUCUGUGUCUGGAUUACUGAGAAUUGGGAGACAGGCCAUCUUCUGCCACUUAUGGGCAAUGAAGUUAUAAGUCCUGUGAAGUAAUAGACUACAAAUUACAAUGCUUCAUUGCAUAAGCAAGUAACAGGAAAUGAAUUAUGAAGAACAAAGUCGUUGUUAACACAAGCUUCAAUAAUCCUUAAUUCUGAACAGGAAAAUAGCCAAUCAGUUGUGUAAGGGUCUAUGAAUAAAGUAGGAUAAUAUGCAUUUGAA